This 1111-nucleotide long non-coding RNA is filed under the name Vitis vinifera (wine grape). RNAcentral's name for it is "long non-coding RNA (VVIN_LNC002624)". The record is from RNAcentral. Lineage: Eukaryota; Viridiplantae; Streptophyta; Magnoliopsida; Vitales; Vitaceae.
GCAACUGUUGUGUAUCUCAGACAAUGGGUUCCUUGUAGAUAUAGAGCAAAAUGCAUCUGGAACAGAGCACAGCUUGGUACACCACCUUAAAGAUCAACUUACAAAGACAAUGUAAGUCUGGGAACCUGUUGUCCCAUGUUAUGAGGUAGCAUAAGAAGGUGAACUCCCUGGCCCUACAUCCGUUAUCCUGGAUAACCUUGUGGAGGCAUCAUUGGGGUCUGGGAACCUGUUGCCCCAUGUUAGGAGGCUGCAUAGGUGGGCGAAUUCCCUGACCCUGCAUCUGCUGUCCUGGAAAACCUUGUGGAGGCAUCAUUGAGGGAGGCCUAGCCAUCUGAGUCCCUGGAGUGAAAUUCGCCAUUGUGCCACUGCCAACAGGAGGCGGAGGAACGGGUAGAGCUCCACCUGGGGGCAUAGGCCUAGGCCCAUUUCCCAUUGGAGGUGGAGGUGGUGGCAAGGUUCCAGGCAUAGGAGGCGGUGGUCCUCUUGGAGGAUUAGCAAUUGUUGCACCUGGUGGGAGUCCCUGUGGUGGAGGAGGAGGUGGAGGAGGAGCUUGAGGUGGUGGGGGCAAAGGCCUUGGUGGGGCACCAGGAGCAGUUGUACCAUUAGCUGCAGAGGCAGGCUGAGGCUUGUUUGCCUCUGGUGGCUUGGUUUUGAAAUACAAUUGCAACUGUACAAUUGGCAUCAAGGAACUAUGUCAUAGAAAACUCACAAAUAAUCCAAAAGUUUCUCAAAACCAGAUCAGUGGCUAAACCCCACCAAGGUGGCAGGUCAGACAUGCAUAAGUUGAUGUUUUAUUAAUAACAUAUUUAAAAUAUGGCAAAGAAAAAAAAAAUCAAAUAGCCUUGAUAAAAUAAGUAUUUAAGACGCCCAUUGCAAAAGACAUUCAAUCACUUGUGCUCUAUUCAAAUAAAAUAACAUACAACAUGUGACUUUAUGAUAGAGAUGAUGAUUAAAAGUGAUUCUGAUGGUGAAAACUUUGCCAACUUGGUCAUCGUGCCUGGAGCUGAAACCCAGGCAGAUUGGAUCAAGUUAGAGAUUAACCCAACCCCAACAUAUGAAUGUCUACGUGAAGGCCAAGCCAACCUAGCUUAAUAGUUUUUUCUCUUAUAUU